GACGAACGCUGGCGGCGUGCCUAAUACAUGCAAGUUGAGCGAUGAAGAUUGGUGCUUGCACCAAUUUGAAGAGCAGCGAACGGGUGAGUAACGCGUGGGGAAUCUGCCUUUGAGCGGGGGACAACAUUUGGAAACGAAUGCUAAUACCGCAUAACAACUUUAAACAUAAGUUUUAAGUUUGAAAGAUGCAAUUGCAUCACUCAAAGAUGAUCCCGCGUUGUAUUAGCUAGUUGGUGAGGUAAAGGCUCACCAAGGCGAUGAUACAUAGCCGACCUGAGAGGGUGAUCGGCCACGUUGGGACUGGGACACGGCCCAAACUCCUACGGGAGGCAGCAGUAGGGAAUCUUCGGCAAUGGCAGAAAGUCUGAACGAGCAACGCCGCGUGAGUGAAGAAGGUUUUCGGAUCGUAAAACUCUGUUGGUAGAGAAGAACGUUGGUGAGAGUGGAAAGCUCAUCAAGUGACGGUAACUACCCAGAAAGGGACGGCUAACUACGUG
RNAcentral lists this ribosomal RNA (497 nucleotides) under uncultured bacterium. RNAcentral's name for it is "partial 16S ribosomal RNA". It matches the Rfam family "Bacterial small subunit ribosomal RNA", at positions 28 to 507 of the family's 1533-position model. The record is from RNAcentral.